RNAcentral lists this ribosomal RNA (119 nucleotides) under Urocitellus parryii (Arctic ground squirrel). The record is from RNAcentral. Lineage: Eukaryota; Metazoa; Chordata; Mammalia; Rodentia; Sciuridae.
GUCUAUAACUAUGCUACCCUAAACAUGCCUGAUCUUGUCUGAUCUCCAAAGCUAAGUGGGGUUGGUCCUGGCUAGCUCUGCGAUGGGAGAAAUGCCAUAUUGUGCUGCUGCUACAAAUU